Molecule: ribosomal RNA, 231 nt
Filed under: uncultured bacterium
Lineage: Bacteria
Description: partial 16S ribosomal RNA
Rfam family: Bacterial small subunit ribosomal RNA
Source: RNAcentral
UGAGCAAUCUGCCCUUCUCUUCGGAAUAAGCGUGGGAAACCGCGUCUAAUGCCGAAUACGACCUCCUUUCGCAUGAUCGGAGGUGGAAAGCUCCUGCGGAGAAGGAUGAGCUCGCGGCCUAUCAGCUAGUUGGUGUGGGUAAUGGCCCACCAAGGCGACGACGGGUAGCCGGCCUGAGAGGGUGACCGGCCACACUGGGACUGAGACACGGCCCAGACUCCUACGAGGAGG